Molecule: long non-coding RNA, 829 nt
Filed under: Anthonomus grandis grandis
Lineage: Eukaryota; Metazoa; Arthropoda; Insecta; Coleoptera; Curculionidae
Description: uncharacterized LOC126735524
Source: RNAcentral
UAUUAGAGAUAGCUACUUUCGGUAUAAGCGAAAAAAUAAGUUGCCGACAGGGUCAUCAGCAGAACAAAAGGUACCUAAAUGGAUACUGUUUAAUCGUCUUUUAUUUCUUGACAAAGUUUCGAGUGAGAGAUUAAGUACUACUAAUAUAAAUGAAGGCGAGACAGAAAUGACAGAUAACGUGGAUGAGGUUGAACAAACAAAUUCUCAGUUGUCAUCGCAAAAUGCUGAAAAUGUGGGAAUUAUAGCUGCAGCAGCAACGACUCGCACAAGUUCAGCCGAUGCAGUUUUCCUCUCAACUACAGGUACGCGUCGACUUAAUCGCAAAAAAAGAAAGCCGGACUCAAGUAACGACAAGAUUAUAGAGCUACUAAAGAAAAGAGAGGAACAAAGACAAGAAACUUUCCGAGGAAUAUUUCAACAGUCGCAAGCAUCAACCAACGGUCCCCUUCAUUCAUUUUGUGAACACAUUAAAUCGGUGCUUGAAUCAUUGUCGCCUUCUCUACAGAUAGAAGCCAAAAGGCAUAUUUAUAAUACCGUCAGUAAGUACGAAUUACUAGCAGUCCAAAGUAAGCACUCCGUUUCCACGGGAGAGGUCUCUAUCAGUACAUACAGAUAUGUCAAAUUCUAAUCCUUUUAACUCUCCACCGAUGCAGUCCCCAGAAAGUUUUUUACCGCCUCAAACUAGCACCGAUUGUUCGCAAGGAGCUGAAGAUAAAGCUGAUGAUGAAAUAGAUUUUGAAUCAGUACUUUUAAAGUUGUAAAUUACAAUAGCGUUUAGACUUAAAUUGUAAAAACUUACCUUAAUGUGAUAAAAAGUUUUUCUUCUGGA